UUUCCUUCUCAUGCAUGGAUUUUGGCCUAGCAGCUCGCCAUCUUAUGCAAACAAGUACUGCACCAAAUUUGCCUUUGCCAAAACCAACAUUGCCACCUUUGCCUUCACUUCCAACACUGCCUCAGGGCAAUGUUCCACCUUUGCCUACAAUCCCAUCUCUUCCAACCAUUCCAACUGUUCCACAGGUCACUCUUCCACCACUUGCUGCCACUUUACUUCCAAACUUCCCCACAGUCCCAACCACUAUUCCUUCCUUCCCCUUCUUCUCCCCACCACCUUCAGCCACCACUCCCUAAAUGAAGCUACUCUGCUUAUUGGAUACAUAGGCACUCGUAUCCUUGGAGUUUGGUUCUGGCUUUCAGUGAUCGUUGGCUGCAUUUCGUGUUGUUUUUAUGUUAUACAUGUGAUGGUGAUAUAUAUUGUACGUUGUCCAUUUAUUGCCGGGGAAUAUUUAUAGUAAUCUUUCAUUUUCCUUUGUUCUUCCAUCUUGUAUUGUAUGGAUAGGAUUAUUGUUUUUUCUUCCUCCUCCUUACUUCAUGUACUUGGGGAUCAUCUAUUGUUAUAGGAUAUACGCUAUAUAUAAUAAAUAAUCCAUGUUCCUUAAUUAUAUAAAUUUAUACACUUUGCUUUCCUAAGUUGCUAAGCCUCCUAUCGAGUUAUUUCUAUUCAAAGGGUAACAUAAUUUGACAAAAUAUAAAUGAUAUGGAUACUUAGAACACAUUCGGAUAAAUGCCUUAAUUAAAAGUAUUAAUAUAAUAAACUUUUAUUAAGAGGAAAUUUAUUCAUGUAAAAUUUGUUUGAAUAAUGGUAUUCAAGUUAUCUUCUAUUUAAAGUCUUAAAUUGCUUACUUCAAGUUGACUUUCAGGUUUUAUUUACUGAUCUUUUACUUCAUUAAUAAAAAGGAAUAUUGAAAAACUCAAGUGAAUGGAGCUAAACUAGCUACUUUCCAAUAAUAAAAUCAAAGGCACCCACUAGAGUGAGAGAGUCAAAGUCAAAAAAAGGAUCCAUAGUCUCUGAGAACGUGCAUGAAACUUUCAUUUCAAAUGACUCUCAAUUGAUAAAAGAAAGAAAAUAAGCUCUCUCUAUUUUUUUUCAUUCUUGAUUACUACCUUGCAUGUGUAUAAGACUUAAUUAUUUCAAUUUUGAAAUUUUUAAAAGAUUGCGUACUAAUCCUUAACUUUUUUAGGAAUCCUUUAUCAAUGGUUAUGAAUGAUCGCUUUGAAGUAAAUUAGAAGGUCGAUGACUGUAAAAGGGUUGAAUACUGAUCUGCACAAAGUAAAGAAUAUCUUUUGGCUUUUAAUGCUCAAGUUGUUUCUUGACAAUCUAAACUAUAAAGUUAAUUAGUUAGGAGUAAGGAAAUGCUUUCUCUCAUUUUAAGAGAAGAAAGUAUAAUAAUCAGAAUGUAUUUUAAUGUUGAGAAGCUUGUUUUAAAAAAUACAACUUUUGUAGCACUAGUCUAUUUUUUAGCACUAUUUCUGAACUGAGAAAUCACUUUUAAAUUUAUUUGAAACCUUCUAUAUUAAACUAUAAAUCAAAUUGAGUUUAAAUUCAAGUUUCUUUAAAAUAGAAAACUUAUUUUUAUGCAUUAUCAAACUUAAAUGUAAACAAAUGACAAGAAAGAAAGAAUGUUACUCACAAACAUUUUUAUAUUAAUUCAUUCUUUAAUUUUGGUCUACAUCCAAUCCUUAUCUUUAUCUUUAGUAGAAUUUUUACUAGAUGACACACACUAACCAACACACACAAAUAUAUAUAUAUAUAUAUAUAUAUAUAUAUAUAUAUAUAUAUUAAUACACUGCAACUUUUUAAGCAUAUUUUUGUUUUACAUUAACUAAUUAAGUAAUACUUUAAGUAUGUUUAUUAAAAUAAUUAUUAUAAAAAAUAAUAUUUUUUAACAAUAAUAUAGAUAUUUAUAAUUAGUUUAACAUAUAAAACAUCUUAUAUGGUAUAUGGUAUCAACAUAUUCCAAUUAACUUCUUAAAUAAUUAAUAACUAUAUUGUUAAACUUAAGUUGAUUUAACUAUCUGUAUAAAUAAAUAUAAAUAUAGAGAUAAAGAAAUAUAUAAAUUGGCAGAUAAAUAAGUUGGGAGGCUCAAACCAUUUUGGAUACAUGGGGAUUCCUCAUUCUCAGGCUCUCAAAUAGUAGUGGUAAGUAGUAACAAUACCAAAUGUGAAAUAUCCGUUCAAAACAUUAAAAAUAGUAACGAAUAAACUUUACAUCAUUUUAAUUCUUCCACUGGGUUGAUAGACUACUACUGUCUUUAAGACUAUCUCAUAUGCAUGCAGUUUUUAUUUUUUCAUGCGAGGGAAUGUACGUACCGUGUAUUUGAAGCUCUGUAAGGAAAAAGGAGCAUAUUCUGUGUACUAAAGAAUAUUAAUAAAAUAAUCACCUAUUAUAUGGUGGUCAAAUGGACUUUUUGGGUGAUUGGUCAAAGCCUGAAAUGGUAGUAAUACUCGUUGGCCUAAUGUGUGAGUGUAACUAUGAAACGCCAUUGGCUGCAAAUGGUGACGUCUGGUAGCUGAGAAUCAGAUGAACUGAGUUAGAUAAACCAACUCUUGGUAUUUUAAUUUCUGUUUUCCAAUCCCAAUUCUCCCCAAUAAUUAACAAAAACAAGUAAAAAUAUUUUUUUAAAAAAAGGAAUAACUAUCGUUGUUACCACAAAGUAAGCCUCACAUUUGAAUAUUGGAGGCUAUAACUCAACAAUAGCCAACUACCUUAUUAGUCCAAAAUAUAUAAUAAAAUGAUUUAUUCAAAUACAGGAGAUAGGUGAACUAACAAAAAUAUGGUAUUUGGUUCUCCAAACAAAGUUGAACUGAAACCAACCAAUGACUCUCUAGUCUCUAGCUCUAUAUAAGACGAAGCACUAUCCUUCAGCAUCUCAUCCAAUUCUCAAAGCAAAUACAUACCAUUUUCAUAUUUGGAAAUUCUUAUUCUUCUUCAUUCUUGCAAUGGCCUCAAGCAAAGCAUUCAUCACAGCUUUCUUCCUUCUUGCUCUGACCAUGUCAAGCAUGAGCAUGAGCCUAGCAGCUCGUCAUCUUAUGCAAACAAGUACUGGACCAAAUUUGCCUAAACCAACAUUGCCACCUUUGCCUUCACUUCCAACUCUGCCUCAGGCCAAUGUUCCCCCAUUGCCUACAAUACCAUCUUUGCCUACCACUUUGCCUCCACUUCCCAGCAGCAUCCCAACCAUUCCAACAGUUCCACAGCUCAACCUCCCUCUAUUGCCCUCAAUCCCAACCACUAUGCCCUCCAUCCCAUUUCUUUCCCCGCCACCUUCAGCCUCAAGCCCUUAAAAUACCCUUCCCUUCAUUUCUUCAUUCUAUGACUUGGUGGUGUCUCUGCAAAAUUGCAUGCAUGCAACAGAUAUGGCUUGAUUCCUUCCCGCAUUUGUGAGAGCAUUGUAUGGUGUUAUAUAUCAUACAAUCUUUGUUGUUUGGUGUGAUGAAAAACAGUGUAUUUUGUUUGUUUUCAGUUUAUGAGUUUCUUGCUAUUGCUUGUACUUUUUCUUAUAUUAUAUAGAUUGUGUACUGAUUACACAAUUAUAUAUACAAUUAUGAUUAAUUUGUCUUCUCCUUUUAAGCUCUUCAACAUCCUAAUUAUUUAUAUUUAAUUACAUCACUUAAAAGUAUUUCACUUGACACCUUGAAUUCUCAACGUUUGGCUUAUAUAACUCAUGUAGUCUAUUUACCAGGUAACGAGUAGAAGUAAAUAUAGCAAAACGUGGCAUUGUGAACCGCUAACCGCGAGAAAUUAAAUCUGGUGUUUCAUUUCAUAAAACUGAUUGAGUUGUACAUAACAAUAGUGAUAGUUUCACACUAACUGAAAUUCGUUAUAUAAAUAUUAGCAAAUAAUAACUUUUAGCGCUUCUCUUUUUGGUAAUUAUUAUUGCAUAAAAAAUAAGCCAUUAUGACGAGUUAGAUAAAUUUUUUAAACAGUAAAAAAGAUUAUAAGGCAAUAAUGACAAAUUAUUAGCAACUUAAGUCUAAUUAAGCUUAACUGCUGUCUAUUGCACUUAAUAAUAAGGUAUUAACAUGAAGUUCAGAUCAAGCAAUAUACUACGUAUAAGUUACAAACUUUACAAUAAUUUGUCGUUAUAUUAAUUUAAAAAAUAAUUUUCCGGUGUUGUUCUUAAAACUAAUCAUUGAGAAAAUAAAAACAAAACAUACUACUUUAUGUCAUAACAUAUCCAAAUAUAUGGUAUAUAUAAUAAUAAAAAAACAAAAAUUUAAAUAAUGUUCAAUAAAUGUUGUUUUUCUUCAAUCAACAUUGAUUUUUUACUUCAGAAAUAUAUCUAUGUUGAUCUUUAAUAAGAAAAAUAAAAAAAUAUACAGAUCAUCAAAGUGAAAAUUCAACUCUGAUUAAAAAACAGCACUAAAAGUAAUUAAAAAAUUACUUCUAAAUAUUAUCUAUAUAUAACUUCAAUUAUGCAAUUAACAAAUUAAAUUGUCCCCUAGGCUGAAAAAAGUUUGAAGGGAAAAUUAAUACACUGUGACCACAGGAAGCACAAUUCAUUCAUAUUUGCAUGUCAUAGAGCUUUUGCUAGUUUGAAUAUUUUUUUUAUGUUGUACGAAAAUAAGAGUCCAAAACACACUGAUUAUAUAUAAAAACACACUGAUUAUAUAUAAUUUAAAUUUUGAUGAACUGAGUAAUAAGCCACAGUACUAAAACCCUCACGCUUCACACUUAAACCAGUUAGACAUUUUAGCAAAUAAUCCUUCUUGGAAAUAUCGUCUGCGCGCAUGCAUAUUAAUUAAACAUGAAGAAAAAAGAUCGUUAACAGCAAAGAUAGAAUUGAACAGCAUUAAAAUGAACUGAUGGUACAGUUUUGCAUCAAUAUAUGACAAAUCAAGUACUCAAAGUCUAAGUCGUCUGAGAGUAAUGCAGUACUCCCAACAUUUGAUGCCAUUUAAAACCGACACAUGCAUGAAACACCGUUCUUUAGGUGAGUUCCUCUUCUUCUAAUUAAGGUGCACUAAUAUAAAAACUCAAGGGAAGGCUCUUGUCUUCAUCACCACGAAUCCUCUUACUAUUCAAAUGGCCUCCAUCCGUGUGCUGCUCUUAUCUUUCUUUUUCAUUGCUUUGUCACUUUUUUCCUUUGGCAAUGUCGAAGCCAGUAGAAAACUUCUGGCACCAACAUUACCCGAUUUGGGGAAUUCUCUUCCUCGCCUGAUAUUUCCUCCAUUUCCACCAGUAACGGACUGGCCAGAGUAUAGGUUGCCUCCCCCAUUGAUUCGCACGCUUCCACCCUUCUCACCUCCUUCAGCCACAACAACCAAUCCUUGAGUUGAAUAGUAUAUAUGAUCAGCAGAUCAUACAUGUACUGUAUAUCGAUGAUGUUGCAUAACUUGCAUUGCAUGUGGUGAUGUAGUGCAGUAAAAUAAAGGUUCACGUCACGCUCAAGCUUUCCUAAUAUCUUACGUGUUUAUUUAUUGACUUCAUCGUUGUUUGCUAUCCUUUGAUUGGGUGAGAUAUAUAUGCUUUGUAGUAGCACCUUGUAAUGGAGCAUCUUAUAAUUUUUUUCUUGUACUGGUGGAUUCAUAUAGACUAUUAGACUACGCCUUUAAGAGGAUGUAAUAUGUAAUUUUUUUUUUUAAUGUGAGAGGAUAUAAGUUUGAAGCUUUGUAUCAGUAUUCUAGAGUAAAAAAAUAAAAAAAAUAUAAUAGUGGAAAACAAGAUUAAAAAAAUUACGAAAAUAAAUUCCUCCUAAUUGUGGUCAUCAAAGUCAAAUAGAUGCAUUUCGGUGAUUGGCGGUCAAAGACUAAAAUGGUAGCUGAGGUGAACUCAGUUAGAUGAACCAACUCUUGGGUAUUCCCCCUUUUCCAACAACAACUCUUUCUUUCUUUAAUGCAUACAAAAUCUGAUGAGUUGGUCAUCCUACAUUUGAAUAUUGGGGACUAUAACUUCAUAUAAUAGCCAAAACCUUAUUAGUCCAACGUAAUAAAAAUACAGGAGAUAGGUGAACUAACAAAAAGAUUGGCUACUCUCUAUUUGGUUCUCCAAAUUAACAAAGUUGAAGUGAAACCAUGAUAUAUCCCAACUCUCUAGCCCUAUAUAAGACCAAGCACUAUCCUUCAGCCUCUCAUACAAUCUCAGAGCACAUACACACCAUAUUCAUAUUUGGCAAUUCCUCUUCUUCAUUCUUACCAUUUCCAUUGAGCUAUGGCCUCAAGCAAAUUAUUCAUCACAGCUUUCCUUCUUGCUCUGACCUUCUCAAGCAUGAGCAUGAGCCUAGCAGCUCGCCAUCUUAUGCAAACAAGUACUGCACCAAAUUUGCCGGGUAUUCCAAGUUUGCCUUCACCAACAUUGCCACCUUUGCCUUCACUUCCAACACUGCCUCAGGCCAAUGUUCCACCUUUGCCUACUAUCCCAACACUUCCACAACCUAACCUACCAUCUUUGCCAACCACUUUGCCUCCACUUCCCAGCAGCAUCCCUACCAUUCCAACACUCCCACAGCUCAACAUUCCUCCAUUGCCCUCAAUUCCAACCACUAUGCCCUCCAUCCCAUUCCUCUCCCCACCACCUUCCACUCCUUAAAAUACCUUUCAUAAUUUCAUCCUGGGCUACCUACGCCCUCUGACUUGGUAUAUCUCUGCCAAGUUGCAUGCAUGCAAUAGAUCGAUAUAGUUUGAUUUCUUUCGCGUUUGUGAGAGCAUUAUUGUAUGGUGUUAUCAUAGUAAUAUUUUUGUUGUUUGUUGUGAAAAACAGUGUAUUUUCUUUUCAAUUUAUGAGUUGUUUCUUGUUACUGUUUGUAAUUUUUUAUUAUUAUAUUAUAGAUUGUGACUGAUUACACAGAUAUACAAUAACGAUGUCUUCCUGUUUUUUUAGCUCUUAUAUCCCAAUUAAUAAGCUCGAUCUCUAAUUAUUUAUAUUCACAUCACUGGGAGUAUUUCAUUUUAGCUAUUCGAUUUCUCUACGUUUGGCUUAUAUAGCUCAUGUACAGUCCGUACAAGGUGAUCGAGUUGUACGUAACAACUAUAAUAAUCCGAAUUUCAAUAAUGUUUUAUAGGUAUUGUUUAAUGCAAAUUUUUAUUAUCAGACUUUAAAUAAAAGUAAAACUUCUGAUUAAAAAACAACACCAAUAAAAUAUUUAAGAAACUGCAUACUAAUAUAUAUAUAGCAUCAUACUAUAUGUUUGGUGCAUAGAAAUCUUCAACAAUGCAACCAUCCAUAACUUUGCUAUAACAAAUUGUCACGAGGCUGGAAGGCAAAAAUACGUCGUAGCCACAGCUAGGAAGCAGAAUUUAUUCGUGUUGUCAUGAGCUAAUAACAGAGUUAAUAAUUUUCUCCGACACAAACAGUAGACAAACGGAUUAGUAGCUAAAUAACAGAGUUAAUAAUUUUCUCCGACACAAACAAUUAAUAAUUUACGCGCUUCAAUUCAGGCUAUAUUUUUUUCUCCUAAUUUAUUUUUCCUUGUGCUUAUUGUAUGUUAUAAUGCAUUAUUCAUGUUUAAAUUUAUUUUACUACUGUUAUUAUUUUGUUAUUUAAUUCAAGACUGUGCAUCUUCUUUGUAUUUAUUUUUCUUCAUUUUUUUAUUUUAUUUUUCCAACACUUACGUCUUACUAGGAAUAAAAUGUUAUGUAUAUUACCUGUUUUACUUCAGUGUGAAAAGCCAUUUGCAGCCGUACGUGAUGUAUAGACCCUCUUAAUCGAUGUUAGUGUUGGAGUGUCCAAUAGCUGUUAUCUCGCAGCCUGUCUCUAGAGAUAUAUACCUCAGUAGUCAGUACAGAAAGGAAUAUCCUCUCCUUUUGUAAAUCUCAGAACAACCUAAUUAGCCAUCUAAUUAUGUGCACAUUAAUCCCCACAACAAUACUCUUACCUUUUAUUACACGGCAACCUUGUGCAUGAAACUUUCAUCACUAUUAAUGUUUACUAGGAAAUGGUGGAUAAUUGUGUGUUGGUUUGGUGCCAAAAUUUUAACCAAAAAAACUAGUCAAAAUUAUAAAAAAAAAAACCCUCCACACCCUUCACACUCAAACCAGCUAGACAAUUUUUGCAAAUCAUCCUUCUUGGAAAUAUCGUCUGCACUCAUACCAAUUAAACAUGGAGAAAAAGAUCGUUAACUGCCAAGAUAGAAUCAAAGCAUUAAAAUGAACAGGUUCAAUUUUGCACUCCCAACAUUUGAUGCCAUUAAAAACCGAUGUGGAUGAAGUGUAACGAUCCACACAUGAAACACCGUUCUUUAGGUGAAUUCCAAUUCUAAGGUUCACUAUAUAAGCUCAAGUAUGGCAGGUCCAUAUCUCAUCACCACGAAUCCUCUUACACUUUUCCUAGUUACUGAUUUCGACCAUAUACUACUAAAAUGGCCUCCUUCCGUGUGUUUCUCUUAUCAUUCUUCUUCAUUGCUUUGUCACUUUUGUCCAUUAGCAAUGUCCAAGCAAGUAGGAAACUUAUGGCACCCACAAUGCCCAAUAUGGGCAAUUCUCCUCCUCGAGUGAUAUUUCCUCCAUUUCCACCAGUAACGGACUGGCCAGAGUAUAGGUUACCUUCACCAUUUAUUCGCACACUUCCACCCUUCUCACCAAAUCCCACAACUACCAAUCCUUGACUUGACUUGAGUCUUGAGUAGUACGUAGGAUCAUUUGCUACAACGUACCAGAGUAUAUUGAUGUUGCAUUGCAUGUAUGUGAAGUAAAAUAAAAGUUUCAAUCACAGGCUUUCCUAUCUUUUUUUGUACUUCUUGUUUUCUAUCCUUUGAUUGGGUGAAAUAUGCCAUGUAGCUCCUUGUAAUGGAGAAUCAUAUAUGAUAUAUAAAUGUCUCCCUUUAGCCUUUGUGCAACGUGAAAAGGAUAAUUUUUUCUUGUACUAAAUUGAUACUUGAUAUACUAUAGCCUUUAUAAGAGGAUUUAAUAUGUACUUGUUUUAUGCGGGAGGAUAUAAGUUUGAAGCUCUGUAUCAGUAUUCUGUGACUAUAUAGUAAAAAUGAAAAAUAAUUAAUGGAUAAGAUUAUUAAAAAAAACUAAAAUAUAUUUUUUAUCCCUAAUAAAUACUCAAAUAUUAUAUUUAUUUUUUCAUAAAUUUUUUCUUUGCAUUGAGUUCUUAAUAAAAGAAUAAUUUUAUUUUUUAUCUUUAAUAUUUUUUUAAUCUAAUAAAUUAAUGAAUUUUAUAUUUAUUUUUUAAUAUUUUUUUCAUUUAUUACUAAUCUUUUUCAAAAAAAACUAAUAACGAAUAAAUUUUUUUAUCAAAUAGAAAAAAAUUCUAAUUUAUAAGAAAUGAAAAAGUUCCAAUGAACAAAAAUAAAAUUAUUAUUUUAUCAGCUAACAAAAACAAAGAAAAAAUUAUUAAAAAAUAAACAUACAGUUUAAAUAUUUAUUAAAAAUUACAAACAUAUUUUAACCUUAAAAAAAUUACUAAAAUAAAGUUCUACUAUGGUCAAAGUCAAAUAGAUUUUAUGGGUAAUUCAAUCAAAGCCUCAAAUGGUAGUAAUACUUGUAUGCCUAAAGGGUGACGUCUGGCAGCUGAGGUGAACUCAGUUAGAUGAACCAACUCUUGUAUUUCCACGUUUUCCAACCCCAAUAUUCUGCCCAGAAACAAUUAUAAACAAAUAUGCACUUUAUUGUUGAAUAAUUGCACCCCCACUUCAUAUUUGUUACUAUAAAGUAUGAGCUGGCCAUCCUACAUUUGAAUAUUGGAGGCUAUAACUUAACAAUAGCCAACCACCUUAUUAGUCCAAAAUAUAUAAUAAAAUGAUUUAUUCAAAUACAGGAGCUAACGACCGUUUUAUAUGAAACUCGUCUUAGAAAGGUAGUUAACGAUCGCUUUAGAAUGUUAUUUUGAAGAAAAAAAAUAAUUUAAAAUAAUAAAAGCAUUAUUAUGAAAUGAUAAAAACAAUAUUAUUAUGAAAUGACAAAAAGAACAUUAAAAUAAUAAAAAUAAUUUUGUUAGUUAGCCAAAGUUUUAUCUAUAAAUAUAUAAAUGUACUUUUAAAGUCAGAGCCUAAUAAUAUCAUUCAUUCUCUAUUAAGUUACUUUUCUAUUUCAUUACCUAAAACAAAGUAAAAAAUGUAGAAAUCCAAAAGCAAUGCCUGAUCAAUACCCAACAAUCAAAAAACAAUCUUCCCUCGUCAGCUUCCUAACCAACUGAUACAUGUUUUCUCGUUGAAAGUAAUAACAAGUCAAAAGUAAUAAGAGAAUUCUAUUAUUUGUGAUAUAUUUCAUGGGUAACUAUUGAUUAUCUGUGAUAUAUUUCAAUGGAAAAUUCUAUUACUUUAAUUGGAACCUAUGAUGUUUAUUCAAAGAUGGUGCAACACCCUUUCACUAGCUGAAGGAGAAGAUAAAUUAUUAAGCACCAAGAAUAUAAUGAGAAGGGAAUACAUACUUUAUUGAAUUGAAUGGAAACAGAAAAUAGGAGAGAGGUCUCUCCUCCAUGGGUUUCACCUUCACAAAUUAUUUGUCUUUUUAUAAAGAGCAAAAGCUCAAUCUACAAAUGAUACAAGGUUGAAAGCUUCUUGCUUACAUAUAUCCUCCUCGUAUUUAUAUACCUCUCAAAUCCCCUCUAUCUGCCUAACCCUUCUACUAACCAACUACAGUAACUUUCCUAGCUAACUUCCUAAUUCCUAACAUAAUUUGAUUUGUAGAAAUAGAAAAAAGUGAUGCAUUUUCUCUCUUUUUAUUUUUAUGCCUCUGGAAUGGUAUAUUUAAGCCUUUGAAUUUGAACAUGAUAACAAUCUUAUUUGUUUUCUCCCUGCUUUCAUGUCAUAUAUACAGUUUCGCCCAUUUAUAUUAGAAAGAAUUCAGCCAAAGCACAUAAUUCUUUUGUUUGAUAACAGUGAGUUUAACCAUAGAAUGAAAGAAACGUCCCAUUCAAGAAGGAAUCCUACACUUUUUCCUUCCCCCACAUAUAUUCACUAGUUUGAAUACUGGUGCUACACGUGGUUAAAAAUAGAAUAAAUUACAUGGAUCCCUCCCUGAUGUGUUCCUUUAUUACACCCAAAACCAUUCGGUGAUUUUGAGAUAUGUUGAGUUGUGUUUCCAAAAUUGAAAAACAUUAAAGGGAAAAGCAGAAAAACAGAUAAGAGACAAAAAUCUAGAAGAAAUAACAUAAAAAUACAACGGUAACCAUAAGAUUUGUGAGUAUAAAAAGUUAGUUGCACGGCAGACCAACAUUAUCAUAAAAUAUAUAUACCGAGGAAAGCAUACCAGUUGAAGAUAAGUAGGAUCAGAUGAUCUUGGUUUGGGGGUUGGGUUCAUGGAAUAGAACCAUCCUGGGAAACUGUCCAAAUCCCACUCUGAAAUAAAUCAACAGUAACCCGUCAUCUUCAAUUCUUGUAUACCAUUUUCAACAAAAUAUCAACAACAACAGAGAUGGCAUUAAAUAAACUGUAUAAAAGAGGAAAUAACAUAAAAAUAGAUAAUAUUUUUCUAAAUAAAAAUAUAAAUUAUUAAAAUAUAGAGAUACAAGCAUGUGAAACUUUGUUGUUUCCCCUAACCAAGUCAAAUUACCAAUAAGUAUUUAGCCAGAGUUGUCUUAAUUAAUUAAGGAUUUCAAAUUUAAAUCUCUAAGAAUUCAUUAUAUUAGUAAUUCAGAAGGCAAGUUUUCUUUUUCCACCUAUAGUAAUCUCAUUCAGCUCAACACUGCCACAACCCACCCUGCCAUCUUUGCCUACCACUUUGCCUCCACUUCCCAGCAGC
Molecule: long non-coding RNA, 11631 nt
Filed under: Glycine max (soybean)
Lineage: Eukaryota; Viridiplantae; Streptophyta; Magnoliopsida; Fabales; Fabaceae
Description: long non-coding RNA (GMAX_LNC003002)
Source: RNAcentral